RNAcentral lists this ribosomal RNA (1383 nucleotides) under uncultured fungus. Its description in RNAcentral is "eukaryotic LSU rRNA". The stretch from base 715 to 1383 matches the Rfam family "Eukaryotic large subunit ribosomal RNA", at positions 1 to 649 of the family's 3401-position model. The record is from RNAcentral. Lineage: Eukaryota; Fungi.
AAGUCGUAACAAGGUUUCCGUAGGUGAACCUGCGGAAGGAUCAUUAUCGAAUAUAAACUUGGGUAGACUGUUGCUGGCUUCUCUUCGAGGAGCAUGUGCACGUUUAUCCUCUUUAUUUUUCCACCUGUGCACCUUUUGUAGGCUUGGAUUAUCAGUGGUUCUAAUGUGUCUUUUAAAAGGCAUAAGAAUUGUUUUGGGACUGCUGUGUUUAAACGCAUGUUUAUCGGCUUUCCCUUUUAUUUUCCAAGUCUAUGUUUUGUUAUAUACACUCCAGAAAUGUAAUAGAAUGCUGUACUUUAGGUCAUUCGUACCUAUAAUAAAAUCAGUACAACUUUCAGCAACGGAUCUCUUGGCUCUCGCAUCGAUGAAGAACGCAGCGAAAUGCGAUAAGUAAUGUGAAUUGCAGAAUUCAGUGAAUCAUCGAAUCUUUGAACGCACCUUGCGCUCCUUGGUAUUUCAAGGAGCAUGCCUGUUUGAGUAUCAUUAAAUUAUCAACUGUACCAAUUUGGUUGCAGAUUGGAUGUGGGAGAUUUUGCAGGCUUUUGAUUUCUCUUUGAGAAAAAACGGUCAGCUCUCCUGAAAUAUAUUAGCAGUGCCUUUGUUGGUUCAUUAGGUGUGAUAAUUUAUCUACAUCUUCNCAUGGNACCUUCGUUUGNAAAGGUCAUAUUGCUUCUAAUUGUCUUUGGACAAAAAACAUAUAAUGUAUGGAAAACUUGAUCUCAAAUCAGNCAGGACUACCCGCUGAACUUAAGCAUAUCANUAAGCGGAGGAAANGAAACUAACAAGGAUUCCCCUAGUAACUGCGAGUGAAGCGGGAAAAGCUCAAAUUUAAANUCUGACAGUUGUUCUGGCUGUCCGAGUUGUAGUCUAGAGAAGUGUUGCCCGCGCUGGACCGUGUACAAGUCUCCUGGAAUGGAGCAUCAUAGAGGGUGAGAAUCCCGUCUUUGACAUGGACUACCAGGGCUUUGUGGUGCGCUCUCGAAGAGUCGAGUUGUUUGGGAAUGCAGCUCAAAAUGGGUGGUAAAUGCCAUCUAAAGCUAAAUAUUGGCGAGAGACCGAUAGCGAACAAGUACCGUGAGGGAAAGAUGAAAAGAACUUUGGAAAGAGAGUUAAACAGUACGUGAAAUUGCUGAAAGGGAAACGCUUGAAGUCAGUCGCAUCGACUGGAAAUCAACCUUGCUUUUGCUUGGUGUAUUUUCUGGCUUGAUGGGUCAGCAUCAAUUUUGAUCGCUGGAUAAAGGCUUGGGGAAUGUGGCAUCUUAGGAUGUGUUAUAGCCCUUGGUUGCAUACAGCGGUUGGGAUUGAGGAACUCAGCACGCAGCGAGGCCGGGUUUCGACCACGUUUACGUGCUUAGGAUGCUGGCAUAAUGGCUUUAAUCGACC